Molecule: non-coding RNA, 74 nt
Organism: Ameiurus melas (black bullhead)
Lineage: Eukaryota; Metazoa; Chordata; Actinopteri; Siluriformes; Ictaluridae
Source: the annotation of a GenBank genome assembly
GCGCACGGUGGUUUAGGGGUUAGCACGUUCACCUCACACCUCCAGAGUCGGGGGUUCGAGUCCCGCCGGGUCCA